This 82-nucleotide transfer RNA is filed under the name Jimgerdemannia flammicorona. RNAcentral describes it as "tRNA-OTHER". It matches the Rfam family "tRNA". From Rfam's summary of the family: Transfer RNA (tRNA) molecules are approximately 80 nucleotides in length. Their secondary structure includes four short double-helical elements and three loops (D, anti-codon, and T loops). The record is from RNAcentral. Lineage: Eukaryota; Fungi; Mucoromycota; Endogonomycetes; Endogonales; Endogonaceae.
GUCGCUUUGGUGGAGUGGUUAACGCGGUGUCCUGCUUAUGGCAUUGUCCAGUUGGACACAUGUUCGAAUCGUGUAGGCAGCA